Molecule: long non-coding RNA, 911 nt
Filed under: Rhinopithecus bieti (black snub-nosed monkey)
Lineage: Eukaryota; Metazoa; Chordata; Mammalia; Primates; Cercopithecidae
Description: lncRNA (ENSRBIG00000045759.1)
Source: RNAcentral
AUGCUCCUAUAUUGGGUUUUAAUAGCCUCACAGAUGGCCAUUUUUUUACUUACACAGGAGGCUAGAAAUCAAAAUUUGGCUCUACAGACCCAUGAUAUUCCCUCUCUGAUCUACUUCUCUGGACAUCUGGGUUUCCUGUGGAUUGUGUUCAAUCAGCAAUGUUGAGGUACAGAAGAGAAGAGGCAGAGAGCUUUCAUAAAGAGAAGAUGCAAACUGUGUGUUCAUUGAAGAAUGAAAAUAUAUAUCCAACCCUUCUCCAAAAGGCCUCAGUGACUUUUGCAACAUCCUCAACUUCAUUUAUCUAUAGGACGGCUUUUGAUAGCUUUAUGUAAGCUUUUUAAAGUUCAGCCAAGCCAGCUGCGUGAUCAACACAAAGACAAUAGCUCCCACACACAGGGUUACAUGGAUUAAAGAACCCGAUCCAUCAGUAAACCUGCCAGAUGGCAGUGGAAGAAAGCUUGUAACUCUCUCACUUUCAUUUCAACAGCAGCAAACAAUGUUCAAUGUUUAAAAUAAACUCUUCCAGAUGAGCUAAAGAUAAACUCUGAGGUGGGUGGACUCUAUCUUGCUAGGCUGCAGCUCUGAAGUGUUUGAUUACAUUAACACAAAACCCCUGGGUAGAACCCACUUCUGUCAACAGAAUGCCUAGACUCAAACACCUACUACACGAAGCCAUUUCCUGUGCUUUCAUGGGUUGGUGGCAGAAACUCGCUUUGCUUUUUUCACAAACUAAUAAUGAUUAUAUAUUUUUCUGUGCUCAAUAUUUCCUCAAACCGUGUGGAUAACUUCAAGAUAUAACUAAAAUGCCAACAUAUAUGUAUGUCUGCACAGAUAAAAUAUUUUGAAUCUGUUUACAACUUAAAAUUCUACUAUUUAUUCACCUUACUAUUCUCAUAGUAGCAAAAGCGGGG